UACGAGUGCUUCAAGCGUUAUCCGGAAUCAUUGGGCGUAAAGGGUGUGUAGGCGGCUAUGUUAGUCUCGCGUUAAAUUCUUCGGCUCAACCGGGGGCAUGCGUGGGAAACGGCAUAGCUUGAGGAUGGAAGGGGUCUCUGGAACUCAUGGUGUAGCGGUGAAAUGCGUUGAUAUCAUGGGGAACACCAAAAGCGAAGGCAAGAGACUGGUCCAUUUCCUGACGCUGAAACACGAAAGCGUGGGUCGCGAAUGGG
This 254-nucleotide ribosomal RNA is filed under the name uncultured bacterium. Its description in RNAcentral is "partial 16S ribosomal RNA". It matches the Rfam family "Bacterial small subunit ribosomal RNA", at positions 524 to 776 of the family's 1533-position model. The record is from RNAcentral.